This 465-nucleotide ribosomal RNA is filed under the name uncultured bacterium. Its description in RNAcentral is "partial 16S ribosomal RNA". It matches the Rfam family "Bacterial small subunit ribosomal RNA", at positions 28 to 507 of the family's 1533-position model. The record is from RNAcentral.
GACGAACGCUGGCGGCGUGCUUAACACAUGCAAGUCGAACGGAAAGGCCCUGCUUGCAGGGUACUCGAGUGGCGAACGGGUGAGUAACACGGGGGUGCUCUGCCCUGCACUUCGGGAUAAGCCUGGGAAACUGGGUCUAAUACCGGAUAGGAGCCAUUUUUAGUGUGAUGGUUGGAAAGUUUUUUCGGUGUAGGAUGAGCUCGCGGCCUAUCAGCUUGUUGGUGGGGUAAUGGCCUACCAAGGCGGCGACGGGUAGCCGGCCUGAGAGGGUGGACGGCCACACUGGGACCGAGAGACGGCCCAGACUCCGACGGGAGGCAGAAGGGGGGAAUAUUGAACAAUGGGCGCAAGCCUGAUGCAGCGACGCCGCGUGUGGGAUGACGGCCUUCGGGUUGUAAACUCCUUGCGCUAGGGACGAAGCUUUUUGUGACGGUACCUAGAUAAGAAGCACCGGCUAACUACGUG